GUGAUUUCAGUGAACUACAUAAAAUAGCUUUUGCCCUUUAUGCUUCCACUGACUUGCAUAACGAAUCAUUCACGGUCAAACUGCACUGUGUGGUUCUGCAUGCAGCAGCAGAUUUCUGUGAUAUUGUGCCCCUUUCCUGCAAGUUCUCUGACUGUUUUGCUGUUAGAUUCAGAUGCAGCAUAUGUUCAGGCUGUACUAAUUCCUGAACAUCUCCCUCUCUGUAACACGGUGAGACUCUAUAAGGGUUUCCUAUUUACUGGGGGAUAUAUCUGGAAAAGAGCUAAAUUAUGCAGUAGGUAAUUCAAGGGCAGUGAACCUAUAGCAAGAAGAGCUUUCAUCCUCGCCAGGAUUCAUUGAGAUUUACAGCUAUCUAUUUCCAAAUAGGACAUCAGUUAGUUUUUUUCCAUGACAUAUGGAUGUUGUGUUGGUACUCAUGUUAGCUCUUUGUUUGGUUAGUAUCAAAGGUGUCUCCAGAGGGUGUUUUAAAGUGUUUAAAUCAAUCUGCUGCUAAGAAUCACUGAAGCUUGGAGCUACAAGAACAAGUGGCAAACUGCACUGAAGCAGAAAUGUUCUUGAAAGAUUGUCAACAGCCCAGAGAGCUGAACCCAUAUCUAACACACAGAAGCCAAUGAGUUCCUGUGCAUAUGAAGAGCAGUCAAGAGGCAAUAUAAAAAUAAACAAGCAGUCCUUCACCUCACCUCCACCUCAGAUUUUUGAAGUCGGAUUGCUACUACAAUAGGCAUAUUCUAACUUUGCCUCCUAGGAAAAAAAUAAAACGACACACUCUGAAAA
Meleagris gallopavo (turkey) is the source of this 792-nucleotide non-coding RNA. Lineage: Eukaryota; Metazoa; Chordata; Aves; Galliformes; Phasianidae. The record is from RefSeq and is a predicted model, not a curated record.